This is a long non-coding RNA of Brassica rapa (field mustard), 2972 nucleotides long. RefSeq lists it as uncharacterized. Lineage: Eukaryota; Viridiplantae; Streptophyta; Magnoliopsida; Brassicales; Brassicaceae. The record is from RefSeq and is a predicted model, not a curated record.
UCGAUCGCGUUCCCGUUUUCGAGCUUCAAUCCAGGUUUGGCCUGCAGAUCGGAGAAGUUAACCGCCAGAUCUUCGAAGAGCUUCAGCUGCUUCGACGCGUCGAGCUUGAGCUUCCUAGCGUAAGCAGCGUAGGCGUUCACAAGCGUGAGGUGAUCGGUGGCUUGCUUGUGGAUCAGAUCUAACCUCGUUUUCAACGGAUCCGAUUGAAACGUCCUCGGCAAUGUGAGGUUGGUGACGAGAGGAGUUGAGGACGACGGAGAAGGUGGCGAGGAAGAGAAAAGAGAACAAGGCGGAGAUGAAGAUCCUGUACGAGAAGAAACUGCGGAGUCCUGAUCCGACGCCGUUCCGGCCUCCACGGAAGGCCACCGCCAUUUAGCUUCACCUUUUACAAGUCAGUUUAAAAAAAAAAUAAUUCAGAUGGGGAUGAGGUUCUUGCUUUCCCACGAUAGAGUGUGAAUUAGCCUCUGGAGAGUGAUGUGAUGGAUAGAGAUCUCAAGACAUUUUUGUGAAGAAGACACGUUAAUGUCAUUAAUCAUUGGUUUAAUAAACAAUUACUAAUUUAUAGUGUAGAUAUAAACUCUCAAUAUUAUUAAAACCCCAGUCUCACCCUUAUACUUUAGGACAUUAACAUUUUAUUACCAAAGUAUUUGAAACCAGCAGCUUAAAUACUUAAAAGUAUUGUUUGCGUAAAAUUAUUAUCAACUAACACUUAACUGCACAAAAUUUUUAAAAAAAUUAAACAAACAUAAAGUUUCUGUCCAUUUUGUAACAAUUGAUUAUUUCAUUUUUAAUUUUGCCACUCAAUAAUUAAUUGAAGAAUGAAUAUACUCGCAUAAUAUUUGGUCUGAUUAAUGUGAUUUAAAACAACAGGAACUGGUUCAGCGCAGCGGAUUCGAUAGGACAACAUCGGCGUUCGCAUCAUCUCCACUAGACAGUCCCACCGCCGAUCACCAGGUUUACUUCCAUUCCUUAAAAGUAACUCGAAUAAGCAAUCAAUUAAAACUCUUUCAGAAGAUUUUGCGUCUUCUACAAGAGGAGAUAGCUGGUGCACCUGUUUAGAGUCGUCUAUAUAAGGUACCAUUGUUCUCUGCAGUGUUUUAAAAUGUUAACAUGUUUAAACCUUUAGAGUGCUUAUAUCCAAUCUAUGUUUCUGACAUGUUGAACUUGGUGAGGAGGCAUUGUUUCCCCGUGUACUGGAAUGGAGAUAACUGGUGUGUGCUUAGAGGCCAGAAACAUUAAACAGUUGGAGAUUGCAUAUUGUAACAAGGUAAUGUCUUUCACUAGAGUAUGUGUCGACUAAUAUAUCCAAAUUUUCAUUUUUAUGCCCACACUAUUUUGAAAAUCACUGCUAUACAGCUUAUCAACUAUUUAUUUUUGUAUUCUUUCAUUUUUUUUUUAAACUUCUACGAAUAUCGAGGAAGCAAAAACUAAAGCUGCCACAACUAAGGAGCGAGAGCACUCUGUGAAUGAACUCCACAACGAGCUUAUUCAAAAUUUGCUACAUAGUCUUACAGAAUCAACAAUCACUUCAGAUUUCCAGACUCAACAGUUGUGAUUCGCUACACCUAACUUACCCAGAUCGUCAAGAUCACAGAGUCUGUGCAUUCACUUUGUGCAUCAGAAGUUCUGAUUCAGAACAUCUUAUGGAGCUUACUUAGUUCUGCUUGCAGGUCGACUAUUCCUUAAUACAACAUCUGACACUCAUUUCUACUUUAACAAUGAAAGCGGCUCUGGCUAGAGCUUCUUCCAAGAGUAAGAAUCUUGAACAACAGGAUGUUUGUAUCACUUCCCUCCUACACACUUUCUCAAGAAUCUUACACGUUCUCAACUGCAGGUUGCGUGGGAGUGACGUCAACUGAUCAUCCAGUUCUGAUAAUUGUGGAGGUGCAUAAAAAUAGAGUAUCUACGUGUAUCUUCUGCAAUGGCUCUGACUCCAUGGGUCCGAGAACACCUCCAGAAGCAUAACCGACCGGCGGACGAACGAAGUGAUACGGACACAUCACCUGGAGUACCUAAUGUAUUGAGCGGAAACACUGCUGGAGAAGCUCUGUUUCCUGUGCCAAAGGGUCCCAUCAAAGAAGGCACACAAGACUUUAUAACACAACUCUUGAAUAAGAUUAUCUUUACUUUGUAUUUGGGCACCCUGAAAUCAUCUCCUCUGUCUUGAAAUUAUCCUAACAAUAAAGAAAAUUCCUACGAUUAUCACUUAUCGUCUUUAGUUCCGUAACCCAACUUCUGCUCACAAGUUUUAGACACGACAAGAAUCACACUCUUCCAUGCUCAAAUUGGUUGUAUAAGUGCCCAAACAGGUUUCGAUUCCAUACUAUGGGGCUGUUGAGCCAAAGAGUGGAAGCUUACAAAUUUCAUUGGGAGAUGAAACUUGGGGAAAAAACAGGUUCUCAGAUUCUCACAAUUUUGAUGUGCUAUACUAACCGUAACAAACAUGAUGACCAAUAUCGAAAUUACAAUCAAACGAAUAUGAAAUAACAUUAAUUAAACAUAUUGAUUAAAAUGUAAAGAUAUGCUGGGACAAUUAAAUUGUAUAUUUGUGAUAAAAAUUCCAGUUACAUAAAUUGUUACAAAUCUAAAUAAAAACUAAAAUAAUAAAUAUAAAAUGACGUGUAUCAAAUAUUUAUAUAAUUUAUAUAACAUUUAAUUUGAAAUUCUAUUAAACUUCAAAUAUUUUCAUUUUUUUUUUCUCUUCAAUCUAAAAACGGAAAAAGCUAUACUAAUACAUAAAUAUACUGAACCAAAACCUUUUAAUUUAUAAUGAAAAUGGUAAUUCCAAAAAAAAAACAAUAUUAAGACUGUAAAAACACAAUUAAUAAAAUAAAUAUUAAUUGAAAGCAAAGUUAAGUAAAAUAAAGCAGAACAAGAAUUUAGAAUUUUAAUUACUAUUAAAAAUAUAAAUCAACAACUAAAAAAUUAGUCAUUAGCCGUUAAAAUACCUAUAAAAAUAAUAAUUAUAAUAU